RNAcentral lists this microRNA (22 nucleotides) under Heligmosomoides polygyrus. Its description in RNAcentral is "hpo-miR-10069-5p". Lineage: Eukaryota; Metazoa; Nematoda; Chromadorea; Rhabditida; Heligmosomidae. The record is from miRBase by way of RNAcentral.
GGUGCUUUGUCGUUAGGUUGAC